AUGAACGCUGGCGGCGUGCUUAACACAUGCAAGUCGAACGAUGAAGCCCAGCUUGCUGGGUGGAUUAGUGGCGAACGGGUGAGUAACACGUGAGUAACCUGCCCUUAACUCUGGGAUAAGCCUGGGAAACUGGGUCUAAUACCGGAUAGGAGCGUCCACCGCAUGGUGGGUGUUGGAAAGAUUUAUCGGUUUUGGAUGGACUCGCGGCCUAUCAGCUUGUUGGUGAGGUAAUGGCUCACCAAGGCGACGACGGGUAGCCGGCCUGAGAGGGUGACCGGCCACACUGGGACUGAGACACGGCCCAGACUCCUACGGGAGGCAGCAGUGGGGAAUAUUGUACAAUGGGCGCAAGCCUGAUGCAGCGACGCCGCGUGAGGGAUGACGGCCUUCGGGUUGUAAACCUCUUUCAGUAGGGAAGAAGCGAAAGUGACGGUACCUGCAGAAGAAGCACCGGCUAACUACGUG
RNAcentral lists this ribosomal RNA (465 nucleotides) under uncultured bacterium. RNAcentral describes it as "partial 16S ribosomal RNA". It matches the Rfam family "Bacterial small subunit ribosomal RNA", at positions 29 to 507 of the family's 1533-position model. The record is from RNAcentral.